UGGCAAUCAGAAACCAACUUUUUGGACCAAUAUCAAUGACCACAUCAGUUUGGAAAUGAUUGCAAUAUUAAAAUUAAAUUUUGUGCCAAAUAUGUGACUACUUAUGCAAGUUGCAACCAUUUGCUCAAU
This 129-nucleotide small nucleolar RNA is filed under the name Drosophila virilis. RNAcentral describes it as "snoRNA:GJ25399". The record is from RNAcentral. Lineage: Eukaryota; Metazoa; Arthropoda; Insecta; Diptera; Drosophilidae.